GAGUUUGAUCCUGGCUCAGAUUGAACGCUGGCGGCAGGCCUAACACAUGCAAGUCGAGCGGUAGAGAGAAGCUUGCUUCUCUUGAGAGCGGCGGACGGGUGAGUAAUGCCUAGGAAUCUGCCUGGUAGUGGGGGAUAACGCUCGGAAACGGACGCUAAUACCGCAUACGUCCUACGGGAGAAAGCAGGGGACCUUCGGGCCUUGCGCUAUCAGAUGAGCCUAGGUCGGAUUAGCUAGUUGGUGAGGUAAUGGCUCACCAAGGCGACGAUCCGUAACUGGUCUGAGAGGAUGAUCAGUCACACUGGAACUGAGACACGGUCCAGACUCCUACGGGAGGCAGCAGUGGGGAAUAUUGGACAAUGGGCGAAAGCCUGAUCCAGCCAUGCCGCGUGUGUGAAGAAGGUCUUCGGAUUGUAAAGCACUUUAAGUUGGGAGGAAGGGCAGUAAAUUAAUACUUUGCUGUUUUGACGUUACUG
Molecule: ribosomal RNA, 476 nt
Filed under: uncultured bacterium
Lineage: Bacteria
Description: bacterial SSU rRNA
Rfam family: Bacterial small subunit ribosomal RNA
Source: RNAcentral